Limulus polyphemus (Atlantic horseshoe crab) is the source of this 751-nucleotide long non-coding RNA. RefSeq lists it as uncharacterized. NCBI's taxonomy places the organism in Eukaryota, Metazoa, Arthropoda, Merostomata, Xiphosura, Limulidae. The record is from RefSeq and is a predicted model, not a curated record. The transcript is spliced from 4 exons.
CCCGUAUAUAAUAGUAUAUUUUGUUAAGAGUUACUCAUCGCGGUGUGGCUCAGCCGUUAUCAUUACUCUCGAGUUUAACGCUUCUUAUUGCAAAUGAGAGCCGAAAAACCCAAUUUGAAGGUACUUUAUGCUGAAGUUGAUUGUUCUUAAGCCCUACCUUACAUAUUCUUAAUUUUUCGCGCAAAGUUAUGUCAUUCCCAGGCAAAAGGGGAUCGCGGGUGACCGCAGGCUUCAUCUAGUCCCGGCGGUCACCAUAGUGACAAUGACGUCAGCAAAGGUCGGCAUUAAACAGACGAAUCACCACGCAGAAAUUGGCGCAUGACAUCCCUGUCUUCAUGUAGCUGGAUACAAAAACAAUUUCUGCCUGUAGCAAGACAAGUACUUCGACGUAAGACUGCUCGCUACUUGAAUAAUGAAGCGGGCGGAGUAGGUGUCAUAUAUGGUGUCGAAAUGGUAAAAAAAUAAACAGAACUGAGCAGAAAACAACCGACAGCAGUAUUUCAAGUACCACUGGAGGAAAAUUCAGAAGUUGAAGAAGAUAGGGUACGUUCCUGGUCCAAAUCUUGCCUAAUAGAUGAAUUAGAAGUGUUACGGUAGAAUCUGAGAGAAGUAAAAAGAUAAUAGGAAGAAAUCGGACGAGCUAAAUAGAAAAUUAUAAUAAGGGUGUUUUUUUUCAAGAAAUACAAACAACAUUUAAAGGGGCCAUUAAUGUAAAUCGUGCUCAGCUGAAGCCAAUAAAGCUGCUAGGAGA